ACUGACUUCAAUUAUAUGUAGAACCAUCCAAAAGUCUCCUCUCAGGGGAUUUCCAAACUGGAAAUAACCAACACAACUAGGUCAAGCAUCCAUCAUGCACCAUGUACACCACAGUGCACCACAGCUGAGACCAGUGUGGAUCCCACCAUCAGCAGCUUUUCCAAAGGACCCAGGCAAAAUGUUUCUUUUUGAGGCAGAGAAUUCUUCUAAAUGAUUGUUGGAACUUAGAAUUACUCAAGAUUAUUAUAACCGAGUGGCCAGAGGGAUAUGCUGCCAUUAUGUCCUUCAGCAUAAAGAACUGGUGACUUCUGUAAGUGUGGUGUUUCUGAGGGCAUCCUCUUCCACAUUUUUAGCGUAAUCUACCUCGACACACAGAUGCAAUGCUCACAGAGGCCAGAACGCUUCCCAGAAGCAGCCAAGGUAUUAACUUUGGGAUCCUGAAUUUCAACCAAAGAAAACAGGACUGAGUGAAGCCUGAAAUCUUGAGGCAGUAAAAUACAGAAAGGCAAGUGGCAAACCAUAGGCUGAUAGAGCUAAAAAACAUCCAAAGGAACAUCAUUGCUGCACCAUAAAUUAUUUUGACGUAAAGGAGUGGAAAGAACACAGAGAAAAAACUUUGUACCAUUAACACCAUCUGCAGACCAAAUCUAGACAUCCCUAUGCACAUUAAGAGGAUUUGAAUUGGCAUUAGCUUUCUAUGUUUGAUCAAUUCAUUACAGUUAACAAUGAUAAGAAAUCCAUUUACUGUGAUCCCUGUGAAGAAUUCUGCUGACAUCAUGAUAAUAUGAAGAAUAGCUGAAAAAGACAAGGCCAUGUUUUCUAAGUAAGACAAGUCUUAGCUUUUCCUUGUAGAUGGUCCUGAAUACUUCCUCCAGAUGAUCUUGCAAAUGGGAACAUACAGCACCGAGAAGUCUCAACUUCUGCCAGCUUCUGUAUCAUGGGUAGAGCCUUACACUAGCUUUUCCUCUAAGGAAGAAAAUCAGAGACUACUUUUUGAAUCUGGUGCUCUUCAGAUGAAACUGGAGCAAUGCAAAUCUGAAGAUAUGAAUGAUGGCUAGGUCUUCCAAUUACAUCCUGAGAAAAAUUGCUCCCUUGGCACCAUUCCAUUCUCACUCUUGCUCAAUUUUGAAAAAAAAAAAUCUGAUUGCAAGUAUGUUUUGCUUUGGUUAUUGAUGUUUUGUUUUUGUCUUUUAUUUUUUCCUAAUGCUAAAUGCUGCAUCCUGAAGACAGAUACUUAUUUCCUAUUACUGCCACAAAUAUCCAGUCUCAAAGAUAGCUCUUUCCCCGGCACACUGUUUGACUUAUAAUAAUUUCAAGACACUUUAAUAAAAUUUCCCCUCCCCAUAUCCUAUCCCUACUAAAGGCAAUUUCCUUUCCAGACUUGAAAAUCAGUUCCUGGAAUAUAACUUUUUAAUAAAAAUCUUCC
RNAcentral lists this long non-coding RNA (1426 nucleotides) under Homo sapiens (human). RNAcentral's name for it is "HSALNT0339250". The record is from RNAcentral. Lineage: Eukaryota; Metazoa; Chordata; Mammalia; Primates; Hominidae.